ACUCCUACGGGAGGCAGCAGUGGGGAAUCUUGGACAAUGGGGCAACCCUGAUCCAGCCAUGCCGCGUGAGUGAUGAAGGCCCUAGGGUCGUAAAGCUCUUUCGCCUGUGAAGAUAAUGACUGUAGCAGGUAAAGAAACCCCGCUACAUCCGUGCCAGCAGCCGCGGUAAUACGGAGGGGGUUAGCGUUGUUCGGAAUUACUGGGCGUAAAGCGCGCGUAGGCGGACU
This 227-nucleotide ribosomal RNA is filed under the name uncultured bacterium. RNAcentral's name for it is "partial 16S ribosomal RNA". It matches the Rfam family "Bacterial small subunit ribosomal RNA", at positions 335 to 581 of the family's 1533-position model. The record is from RNAcentral.